RNAcentral lists this ribosomal RNA (640 nucleotides) under uncultured bacterium. Its description in RNAcentral is "bacterial SSU rRNA". It matches the Rfam family "Bacterial small subunit ribosomal RNA", at positions 202 to 842 of the family's 1533-position model. The record is from RNAcentral.
GAAAGAUUCAUCGGAAGAGGAUGGGCAUGCGGCGCAUUAGCUAGACGGCGGGGUAACGGCCCACCGUGGCGACGAUGCGUAGGGGUUCUGAGAGGAAGGUCCCCCACACUGGUACUGAGACACGGACCAGACUCCUACGGGAGGCAGCAGUGAGGAAUAUUGGUCAAUGGGAGAGAUCCUGAACCAGCCAAGCCGCGUGAGGGAAGACGGCCCUAUGGGUUGUAAACCUCUUUUGUCGGAGAACAAAACCCGGGACGUGUCCCGGACUGCGUGUAUCCGAAGAAAAAGCAUCGGCUAACUCCGUGCCAGCAGCCGCGGUAAUACGGAGGAUGCGAGCGUUAUCCGGAUUUAUUGGGUUUAAAGGGUGCGUAGGCGGUCCGUUAAGUCAGCGGUAAAAUUGCGGGGCUCAACCCCGUCGAGCCGUUGAAACUGGCAGACUUGAGUUGGCGAGAAGUACGCGGAAUGCGCGGUGUAGCGGUGAGAUGCAUAGAUAUCGCGCAGAACUCCGAUUGCGAAGGCAGCGUACCGGCGCCAGACUGACGCUGAGGCACGAAAGCGUGGGGAUCGAACAGGAUUAGAUACCCUGGUAGUCCACGCAGUAAACGAUGAAUGCUGGUUGUCCGGGUCGAAUGAGAUCUGG